Molecule: ribosomal RNA, 254 nt
Filed under: uncultured bacterium
Lineage: Bacteria
Description: partial 16S ribosomal RNA
Rfam family: Bacterial small subunit ribosomal RNA
Source: RNAcentral
UACAUGGGGUGCAAACGUUGCUCGGAAUUAUUGGGCGUAAAGCGCACGUAGGCGGUUCGUUAAGUCGGAUGUGAAAGCCCUCGGCUCAACUGAGGAAGUGCACCCGAAACUAGCGAGCUUGAGUACGAAAGAGGAUCGCGGAAUUCCCGGUGUAGAGGUGAAAUUCGUAGAUAGUCGGGAGGAACACCAAAGGCGAAGGCAGUGUCCUGGGGAGUACCUGACGCUCAGGUGCGAAAGCCAGGGGAGCGAACGGG